This 178-nucleotide non-coding RNA is filed under the name Lachnospiraceae bacterium. RNAcentral's name for it is "6S RNA". It matches the Rfam family "6S / SsrS RNA". Rfam says of the family: E. coli 6S RNA was the first non coding RNA to be sequenced, but its function was unknown until recently. It consists of 184 nucleotides that fold into an extended hairpin structure with a large single-stranded internal bulge. The 6S RNA specifically associates with RNA polymerase holoenzyme containing the sigma70 specificity factor. The record is from RNAcentral. Lineage: Bacteria; Bacillati; Bacillota; Clostridia; Lachnospirales; Lachnospiraceae.
AAAGUCCUGAGGUGUUCGAUACUCCUGCUAUUUUGAACCUACAUUUACGUUUAUGGGAUUCCUAUAUUGCAAAUUGGAAGUCAGGCCGCCAUAUGAGCGGAAGGCAGAAGAGUUGUUGCGGUUACCCACCUAGCUUUGCUAGGCGUCGAAGUGCAGGAACCGGCAUUUUGGGUUUUUA